UGGGGGAUAUUGCACAAUGGGCGAAAGCCUGAUGCAGCGACGCCGCGUGGGGGAUGAAGGCCUUCGGGUUGUAAACUUCUUUUGCUCUGAACAAGGCAUGCCUUUGGGGUGUGUUGAGUGUAGGGGUUGAUUAGCGCCGGCUAACUACGUGCCAGCAGCUGCGGUAAUACGUAGGGCGCGAGCGUUGUCCGGAAUUAUUGGGCGUAAAGGGCUUGUAGGUGGCUGGUUGCGUCUGUCGUGAAAGCUCAUGGCUUAACUGUGGGUUUGCGGUGGGUACGGGCUGGCUUGAGUGCAGUAGGGGAGGCUGGAAUUCCUGGUGUAGCGGUGGAAUGCGCAGAUAUCAGGAGGAAUACCGGUGGCGAAGGCGGGUCUCUGGGCUGUUACUGACGCUGAGGAGCGAAAGCGUGGGGAGCGAACAGG
RNAcentral lists this ribosomal RNA (420 nucleotides) under Fusobacteriota bacterium. RNAcentral describes it as "Fusobacteria bacterium partial 16S ribosomal RNA". It matches the Rfam family "Bacterial small subunit ribosomal RNA", at positions 355 to 776 of the family's 1533-position model. Lineage: Bacteria; Fusobacteriati; Fusobacteriota. The record is from RNAcentral.